Molecule: long non-coding RNA, 3422 nt
Filed under: Sus scrofa (pig)
Lineage: Eukaryota; Metazoa; Chordata; Mammalia; Artiodactyla; Suidae
Description: lncRNA (ENSSSCG00000052663.1)
Source: RNAcentral
CUGUGCUGUACAGUAAGCCCUCAUUGCUUAUCUGUUCUAAAUGUAAUAGUUUGCACCUACCAACCGCAAACUCCCCAUCCAUCUCACUCCUUCUCCCCUUCCCCUUGGCAACCACAAGUCUGUUUUCUAUGAACAUCAAUUCCUUCGUUUGUGAAAGAGGGUAGAAAACCACCAACAGUGCUGCGUGUUUGAGGACAGAAAGCAAUCACAGCUGGAGAAGCACCUAACACAUGGUUAGCUCUCAAACCAUGAUGGUUUUGCCUUCUGAGUACCCUCCUGCCUUCUUCAGAAGUACAGACAUCUCCAUUUUUCCCCUUAUGCUUCCCUAAAUAAAUGAUUUUCUCCUUAAGUACUGCCUUCUAGAUAAAUAAAACUCUCGUAUUUAAUUUGAUUGUUUUCCUGUUUGUUUAAUUACUACCAUUAAGAUGUUAGUGCUUUCUUGUAUUUUCGUCAUGGCAAAUGUGAUAUUUUAGCUCCACUUUGGGUUACUGGAUUUGUCAAGUUUCUGCUGUUGCUAGUAUCUGAAAUUUGAGUCAAUGUGGCUUAAGGAAAAGGGGAGAUUAAUUUGGUGUCUGUAAUGAAAUAUUUUAGAGGAUUGUUUUAGCUGAAGACAAGGCUGCACCCAAUCAGACAAUGGCCCAGGAUGCAGGGUCUGUUUCUUGGCUCCGUUCCCCUGUGUUGCCCUCAUUCUUGGGGAGACCAGCAUUUUGUUUCCAUCCUCUUCUCACAAUAGAACCACUGGAAAGAGUUUUCCUUUCCCAUGAAGAGUCACCAAGAAUCUUGGGUCUUGGAUCCAAAGCUGGCAGCUGGAGAACUGUGACAUGCUGGCCAACCCUGCUAGGUCCUGUGCCUGCAGCUGGGGAUGGGGACAUGCAAGUCUCAUGGGCCACGAGAGGCGUGAGAUGGGUCCCAGAGGGAAAUCAGGUCAGGGCUCUGCUAGUCAAGGCAGCAGGGAGCAGCAGUAAGGAUUAUUUUCACUACUAUUUUACAAAUGAAGAAAUAAUCUGUGCCUUUUAGCAGCUAAUUCAACCAUCCCUGGUAAGCUUAUUUCCUCCAAAAGGUGGAACCUCGGUAACAACUAGUCAACUUAUAAAGCCCCCUUUUGGGGGACCAGCUUGCCUGUGUUGACCUCGGGGUCUGUCCAGGGCUCUCUGUGGGGCUAGGUGGCAGAGGUGCUCUGAUGGGGAUGGGCACGGGGUUCUUAGCCUUGUCAAGGGGGCGGGGUCCUUGACAAUCUCAUGCAAAACCUCCGUUCUGCAUCUUCAUUUCCUUAUCUGUGAAAUGAAAGCCAAUCCCUUCAUCCUCCCAGAGGUGUUUGAAGGAUUCGUUGAAGUGAGGAGCUCUUCACAAGCGUUCUGUGGUGCUUGAACGCAGGGUGGACUCUGAACUGAUGUGACCUUAGGCGAGUCGCAGAAGCUCCUUGAACUCUGCCCGUAGCAGGAAAAAAUGAUGAUCCUGCGUCCAGGCUCAGGAAGGCAUGAGCCGCUCAGUAAGCAUUUGGAGACGGAGAGGAGAAAGAACUUUGUAAGCCGUAAAUAUCUACUGGGCAUCAGGUGUUUUCAGUGACACGCUCUCACAGUCACUAAGCUACAUAGAUGAGGAAAUUGAGGCUCAGAGAGGCAAACUCACUCCUCUGAGAUCACAGAGCUGAGGGGCAGAGCUAGGCUGCGAGCCUAUGUCUUUACCACUGUGGCAGUCGCUUCCCAUGUACAGCCCUCACCUGUCGGACCUGGCGGAGAGCUCACCUCUCAUGCAAUACCUCGGUGACUCCCCAGCUGGGUAGGGCCUCUUCUCUGUCCCCCCACCUCCCAUCUAGGCCUGCCUUCACAGCUCUUACUCCCUGGAGUUGUAACUGUCUAUUUAUGUGUCUGUCUUCUCCCACUGGCCUGGGGGAUCAGGCCUGAUGCUCCUGAGAGCCCCUGGUCCCCCAUGUACCACUAGGAGUGGAGAUGAAGUGGUAAAAAGGGAGCUUCCGGUAUCAUGCCCAGAUCUCCCUAUUGGACCUUGAGCAGAGGUCCUGAACCUUGCCGAGCCUCAGCUUUUUCUUCUGUGAAAUGGGAAUAACAGGACCUUCUCAGCCACAUUGUCAUCAGGAUAGAAGGAGUAUAACAGUAGUAACUCACAUCAUUUGAGGGCUUACUCAUUCUAUUUAUUUCUUCCAACAAUCUUUGAAGGCAGGCACUAGAAUCAUGCAUAUUUUAUAGAUGAGAAACAGAUUGAGAGAGAAGAACUGAUUUGCCCAGAGUUGCACAGCUGGACCCUACAGCAUCCAAUGGUGGGAAUUCGAUAAGGGGAUCUAUAAUAAUGACAAACAUUCACAGAAUAACUGAAACCACAGGCCCCUUGGUCCUUGCUAAAUACCAAGCUCACCCAGGGACAGUUACUGGGGCUAUGACUGGCUUGGGAGGAGAGUGUGGCUCCAUCCACCAGAGUUGGGGUGGCUUCUGGAAGUAGGCUGGUUUGGGGCAGAAUAGCUUCCUCCCGAGAAGCCGCUGAGCUCACGAAAUCUGAUGUUCUGAUCUGGAGAAAUUGCUGUACCCCCCACCUCCAUCCCAAAUUUUCAUUGCAUCUUCCUCUUAGCUACAUCCUCUUCCUUCCGUGGGAAGAGCUGCAGCAGCCAUGCACGUUCUUUCAGCAGCAGCCUCUGACAUUGCUGGAGCAUCUGUAGCCUAUGCUCCCGCCAAGGAAGGAAGGGUGGAGAGAGGCGUAGCAUGGGGUGGCUCAGCAUUGAACAGGCUGCAUUUAAACUCUGGCUCUGACAUCCACCAACUGGGGUGACCUUGGUCUGGUCACAUUUCCUCUCCGAAGGCAGGAGCAAUCACCACUUUGUUUCAAAUGAAAUAAAGUGUCAGUAAAAGCCCCUAGCACAUAAGUGCUCAGAAAUGCUUUCUCCUUCUUCCUCCCACUCCCCUUUCUUCCUGAGACAUUUACUGAGAGCCUGCCUGGAACCAGAUGUAGCAGAGGGAGGAUAGGUUCUUUGGAAUCCCCAAAGAGCUAUAGCGUUUGGAGUUGGAUACAAGGAUCAGGGCUAAUUCCAAUAUGAGGUCCCCUCUCCCAUGCUCAGUUUCCUGAUCUGGACAUAAUCAUAGAUCUCUUGCCAGGAAAUGCACUGUCCUGGACUCCCUCAGCAUGGAGCCCCCAGGUGAGUGACUAUUUGACUCCUGGAUGAGGAUCUCUUAAGAUUCAAGGAGGAGUUCCCAUCGUGGCUCAGUGGUAACGAAUCUGACUAGUAGCCAUGAGAAUGCUGGCUUGAUCCCUGGCCUUACUCAGUGGGUUAAGGAUCUGGCAUUGCUGUGAGCUGAGGUGUAGGUCACAGAUGUGGCUCGGAUCCCAUGUCACUAUGGCUGUGGUGUAGGCUGGCAGCUGUAGCUCUGAUUCGACCCCUAGCCUGGGAACCUCCAUAUGCCUUGGGUGUGGCCCUA